GACGAACGCUGGCGGCGUGCCUAAUACAUGCAAGUCGAGCGAAGUCAUAUAGCGGAAGUCUUCGGACGGAAGGUAUAUGUACUUAGCGGCGGACGGGUGAGUAACACGUAGGCAACCUGCCCGUAAGACGGGGAUAACUAGCGGAAACGUUAGCUAAUACCGGAUAGACCUCUUUGGCGCAUGCGAGAGAGGGGAAAGGCGGAGCAAUCUGCCGCUUACGGAUGGGCCUGCGGCGCAUUAGCUAGUUGGAGAGGUAACGGCUCCCCAAGGCAACGAUGCGUAGCCGACCUGAGAGGGUGAUCGGCCACACUGGGACUGAGACACGGCCCAGACUCCUACGGGUGGCAG
Molecule: ribosomal RNA, 348 nt
Filed under: uncultured Bacillota bacterium
Lineage: Bacteria; Bacillati; Bacillota
Description: bacterial SSU rRNA
Rfam family: Bacterial small subunit ribosomal RNA
Source: RNAcentral